GUCACUUUGGCAGCACACGUUACUAAAACUGGAACAAUACAGAGACAAUUACCAUGGCCUCUGUGCAAGGAUGACAUGCAAACUCAUGAAGCAGUACAGAUUUUU
Molecule: small nuclear RNA, 105 nt
Filed under: Prolemur simus (greater bamboo lemur)
Lineage: Eukaryota; Metazoa; Chordata; Mammalia; Primates; Lemuridae
Source: RNAcentral